GGGGGCGCCAGGUCUCGACGGGGUAGUGGUCUGCAGGAUGGCGAGCCGUGUCGCCGAGCACGUAAAAGCGGCAAGGCUAUAAACGCCAAUCGCGAACUGGCUUACGCUGCGUAAGUAGCGAAUCUCGGUCAGCAGGAGCGGCGUCCGGCGUAAACUCCGCUGACUCGCUCCCGGCGGGCGUCGCGGCCGUCGGGGGGACUCAAUUCCGCGACUGGCUUGUCCGGAUCCGCUCCCACGGGAGCCUGGCAGGUGAGAUGCAAAACCGGGAGUACGCUCGUAGAUGUCUUGCGGGACGCUGCUUCGGACGCGAGUUCGAUUCUCGCCGCCUCCACCA
Molecule: transfer-messenger RNA, 334 nt
Filed under: Chloroflexota bacterium
Lineage: Bacteria; Bacillati; Chloroflexota
Description: Chloroflexi bacterium transfer-messenger RNA
Rfam family: transfer-messenger RNA
About the family: Bacterial tmRNA, also known as 10Sa RNA or SsrA, is named for its dual tRNA and mRNA-like properties.
Source: RNAcentral